CUGCUCACUUGGCAACACAUAUACUAAAGUUGGAACGAUAUAGAGAAGAUUAGCAUGGCCUCUGCACAAGGGUGACACACAAAUUUGUGAAGCAUUCCGUAUUUUU
Molecule: small nuclear RNA, 106 nt
Organism: Trichechus manatus latirostris (Florida manatee)
Lineage: Eukaryota; Metazoa; Chordata; Mammalia; Sirenia; Trichechidae
Source: RefSeq, a predicted model, not a curated record